GAAAGAAAGAGAAAGAAGUCUUCCAUGGAGGGAAGAGUGAAGAAAGAAAAAAGAUAAUGAAGAAAUCAAGAUGGGAGCAAAUGAAGAGGGAAGCUCUCUUGAGAAGAAGAAUUAAAGCUUCAAAGAGAAGAUUGUUAAGGUUGUUCUUAUGCCAAAAGAAGAAAAGGGAAUGUGUUGCAAGCUUGUGGUUGAAGCUCAUGGUGUAUCAUUUAUUUUGUUGUAAAGUUAAGGCUUAAAGAAACCUAGGCAUGUGAUUAUUUAUUUGUGACCUUAUGGCUUAGGGAAGCCUAUUUGUUGUAUUUAAUCAUGUGUGGUGUUUAUUUAUGGAUGUUGUUAUGUGAG
Diospyros lotus (date-plum) is the source of this 342-nucleotide long non-coding RNA. RefSeq lists it as uncharacterized. The record is from RefSeq and is a predicted model, not a curated record. NCBI's taxonomy places the organism in Eukaryota, Viridiplantae, Streptophyta, Magnoliopsida, Ericales, Ebenaceae. The transcript is spliced from 3 exons.